GCUGGAUGUGGUGGAGCAUACCUGUAAUCCCAGCUUCUCAGGAGGCUGAGGCAGGAGGAUUGCGAGUUCAAAGCCAGCCUCAGCAAUGGUGAGGAGCUAAGCAACUCAGUGAGAUCCUGUCUCUA
This 125-nucleotide small RNA is filed under the name Marmota monax (woodchuck). The record is from RNAcentral. Lineage: Eukaryota; Metazoa; Chordata; Mammalia; Rodentia; Sciuridae.